Gadus morhua (Atlantic cod) is the source of this 1485-nucleotide long non-coding RNA. RefSeq lists it as uncharacterized. The record is from RefSeq and is a predicted model, not a curated record. Lineage: Eukaryota; Metazoa; Chordata; Actinopteri; Gadiformes; Gadidae. The transcript is spliced from 3 exons.
GAGAGAGAAAAAACUGACCUUGAUUCUGCGUCUGUUGGAAAAAGAGAAAAUUUCCGUUGUCAGUUUGACCUUUACUUUAGUCUGGAAUGAUGUCAUCGUCACCUCUCUAAAUACUUACCUCACGCCUCGUCUCAGAAGGGAAUCUGUAACACACACAAACACACACACAUACGCGCGCGCACACAUACACACACACACACACACACGUACACACACACACACACACACACACACACACACACACACACACACACACACACACACACACACACACACACACACAGUUAAAGGUUGCACAAUCCACCCAACCACACAUUCUGCAGACAAAAUAGUUUGUGUCUGCAAAUGUUCUGGUACGGAAACUACAAAAAGUGCUGUCCAAUCGAACAACCACCAGAGAGUCCUGCUUUUGUUGUGGCUUGCUGCAGAGAGCCGUACAAGUCUCAACAAGUCUCAACCGGUUAGGUUAUCAGCGCACAAACCAGAAAAUGUAAAAUGUGAACAAUGAACCCCUUCCGCGUCCUGCCAACUGUCUGCAUAGGUUCUGCUGUAUUUGUGCUGACCUGCCAGGGAGCGGUUUCACGGAGGUGCUGCGACCCACUGACGCAGAGGAGCCUGGAGGACCCAGCUGAUUCGACCAAGCCGGAGGCUUGGGAGUCCUCUCCUGAGUACUGUUUGGAUGAAACGCACGGAAGGAAGUUGAGGAACGCUUUGAGGAGGAGAUGGGAAACCAGAGGGAGGAUGGAACCACUCACCCGGGACAGGGGAGGGGCUUUCUCCUCUCUCCCGCGUGGGUUUCUUACUCCGCUCCACAAUCGGCGGGCGCGAAGCCACGGGACCCAUCGCUGCCGAACAGAGACGUGACUGCUGGGUGAGUUUCUGAGACCAAUGCAGAGGAAGUGCACACUCUCUGACUGACUGCACACAACGACACAAGAUAGAAUGGAGGAAGACAGCCGCAGCAGCAGCAGCAGCAGCAGGCAGCACAUACUUCACCACAAAGUAGAAGGGCUGAGGGGAACAGACAUCAACCCUCCCGCCCCCUCCAACUUGUGCAGUGGCAGAUGCUGACUGUCUGUGGCGGCAAAAGAUUGAUGAUGGACAAUGGGUUAAGUACUUAGGAUGUUUUUUUCCUUAAGUAAAAGGAUAAAGCAUUCUGGAGCAGAAUGAAGACGUGAAACGCAAUCCGUCAAAUUAAAUAAUAUGAUAUAUAAAAAUAUAAGUAAUAAUAAUAAUAUAGGUAUUUAUUGUAGGACUAUAAAUGCUUUUUAAAGUGUCUUUGAGUGACCCUAUAGGAUUAGGGUUAAUCCUAGCCCUAACACUAACCUUUCAAUUAUUAUUAUUUAUUUAUUUCCAUUCUUUAAUCAUGUGAAAUAUCCAUCACAAAAAAAAGAGUAGAUGGUAAAUGGACUGCAUUUAUAUAGCGCUUUUUGACCAUUUGCCACCCAAAGCGCUUAACAAUAUUGCCUCACAUUCACCAUUCAC